Molecule: ribosomal RNA, 484 nt
Filed under: uncultured bacterium
Lineage: Bacteria
Description: partial 16S ribosomal RNA
Rfam family: Bacterial small subunit ribosomal RNA
Source: RNAcentral
AUUGAACGCUGGCGGCAGGCCUAACACAUGCAAGUCGAGCGGAUGAAGGGAGCUUGCUCCUGGAUUCAGCGGCGGACGGGUGAGUAAUGCCUAGGAAUCUGCCUGGUAGUGGGGGAUAACGUCCGGAAACGGGCGCUAAUACCGCAUACGUCCUGAGGGAGAAAUUGGGGGAUCUUCGGACUUCACGCUAUCAGAUGAGCCUAGGUCGGAUUAGCUAGUUGGUGGGGUAAAGGCCUACCAAGGCGACGAUCCGUAACUGGUCUGAGAGGAUGAUCAGUCACACUGUAACUGAGACACGGUCCAGACUCCUACGGGAGGCAGCAGUGGGGAAUAUUGGACAAUGGGGGAAAGCCUGAUCCAGCCAUGCCGCGUGUGUGAAGAUGGUCUUCGGAUUGUAAAGCACUUUAAGUUGGGAGGAAGGGCAGUAAGUUAAUACCUUGCUGUUUUGACGUUACCAGCAGAAUAAGCUCCGGCUAACUUCGUG